AGAGGGUGCAAGCGUUAAUCGGAAUUACUGGGCGUAAAGCGCGCGUAGGUGGUUUGUUAAGUUGGAUGUGAAAUCCCCGGGCUCAACCUGGGAACUGCAUUCAAAACUGACUGACUAGAGUAUGGUAGAGGGUGGUGGAAUUUCCUGUGUAGCGGUGAAAUGCGUAGAUAUAGGAAGGAACACCAGUGGCGAAGGCGACCACCUGGACUGAUACUGACACUGAGGUGCGAAAGCGUGGGGAGCAAAC
Molecule: ribosomal RNA, 247 nt
Filed under: uncultured Pseudomonas sp.
Lineage: Bacteria; Pseudomonadati; Pseudomonadota; Gammaproteobacteria; Pseudomonadales; Pseudomonadaceae
Description: partial 16S ribosomal RNA
Rfam family: Bacterial small subunit ribosomal RNA
Source: RNAcentral